This 647-nucleotide ribosomal RNA is filed under the name uncultured bacterium. Its description in RNAcentral is "bacterial SSU rRNA". It matches the Rfam family "Bacterial small subunit ribosomal RNA", at positions 63 to 693 of the family's 1533-position model. The record is from RNAcentral.
CGAGGGGCAGCGGGGGCGAAAGCUUGCUUUCGCCUGCCGGCGACCGGCGCACGGGUGAGUAACACGUAUGAAACCUGCCCUAUGCAGGGGGAUAAGCGGAAGAAAUUCCGUCUAAUACCGCAUAACACCAUUUGGAGACAUCUCCAGGUGGUCAAAGGAGGCGACUCCGGCAUAGGAUGGCCAUGCGUGGCAUUAGCUAGUCGGCGGGGUAACGGCCCACCGAGGCGACGAUGCGUAGGGGUUCUGAGAGGAAGGUCCCCCACACUGGUACUGAGACACGGACCAGACUCCUACGGGAGGCAGCAGUGAGGAAUAUUGGUCAAUGGGCGCAAGCCUGAACCAGCCAAGUCGCGUGAGGGAAGACGGUCCUAUGGAUUGUAAACCUCUUUUGUCGGGGAGCAAAGCGCGGUACGAGUACCGUGAAGGAGAGUACCCGAAGAAAAAGCAUCGGCUAACUCCGUGCCAGCAGCCGCGGUAAUACGGAGGAUGCGAGCGUUAUCCGGAUUUAUUGGGUUUAAAGGGUGCGUAGGCGGAUUUGUAAGUCAGCGGUAAAAAUGCGGUGCUCAACGCCGUAUCGCCGUUGAAACUGAGGGUCUUGAGUGAGCGAGAAGUAUGCGGAACGCGUGGUGUAGCGGUGAAAUGCAUAG